AAUUUUCUCCUUCCGUCCGAAAAAACUUGUCCCAAACUUGUCUCUCAAAUGAAUGUAUCUAGCAUUAACUUUGUGCUAGAUACAUCCAUUUGAGGAACAAAUUUUUUCGGAUGGAGAAAGUACUAA
This is a non-coding RNA of Triticum urartu, 126 nucleotides long. The record is from Rfam. Lineage: Eukaryota; Viridiplantae; Streptophyta; Magnoliopsida; Poales; Poaceae.